This 754-nucleotide ribosomal RNA is filed under the name uncultured Acinetobacter sp. Its description in RNAcentral is "bacterial SSU rRNA". It matches the Rfam family "Bacterial small subunit ribosomal RNA", at positions 28 to 776 of the family's 1533-position model. Lineage: Bacteria; Pseudomonadati; Pseudomonadota; Gammaproteobacteria; Moraxellales; Moraxellaceae. The record is from RNAcentral.
AUUGGACGCUGGCGGCAGGCUUAACACAUGCAAGUCGAGCGGGGAAGGAUAGCUUGCUACCUGACCUAGCGGCGGACGGGUGAGUAAUGCUUAGGAAUCUGCCUAUUAGUGGGGGACAACAUUCCGAAAGGAAUGCUAAUACCGCGUACGCCCUACGGGGGAAAGCAGGGGAUCUUCGGACCUUGCGCUAAUAGAUGAGCCUAAGUCAGAUUAGCUAGUUGGUGGGGUAAAGGCCUACCAAGGCGACGAUCUGUAGCGGGUCUGAGAGGAUGAUCCGCCACACUGGGACUGAGACACGGCCCAGACUCCUACGGGAGGCAGCAGUGGGGAAUAUUGGACAAUGGGCGCAAGCCUGAUCCAGCCAUGCCGCGUGUGUGAAGAAGGCCUUUUGGUUGCAAAGCACUUUAAGCGAGGAGGAGGCUACUUGGAUUAAUACUCUAGGAUAGUGGACGUUACUCGCAGAAUAAGCACCGGCUAACUCUGUGCCAGCAGCCGCGGUAAUACAGAGGGUGCGAGCGUUAAUCGGAUUUACUGGGCGUAAAGCGUGCGUAGGCGGCUUUUUAAGUCGGAUGUGAAAUCCCUGAGCUUAACUUAGGAAUUGCAUUCGAUACUGGGAAGCUAGAGUAUGGGAGAGGAUGGUAGAAUUCCUGGUGUAGCGGUGAAAUGCGUAGAGAUCUGGAGGAAUACCGAUGGCGAAGGCAGCCAUCUGGCCUAAUACUGACGCUGAGGUACGAAAGCAUGGGGAGCAAACAGG